GGGUGGUGAGCUCAAUAGUUAGAGCACUGUGGUGACAACGAAGGGGUCAGUGGUUCGAGCCCACUACCGCCCA
Molecule: transfer RNA, 73 nt
Filed under: Dehalococcoidia bacterium
Lineage: Bacteria; Bacillati; Chloroflexota; Dehalococcoidia
Description: tRNA-Val
Source: RNAcentral